This 253-nucleotide ribosomal RNA is filed under the name uncultured bacterium. Its description in RNAcentral is "partial 16S ribosomal RNA". It matches the Rfam family "Bacterial small subunit ribosomal RNA", at positions 524 to 776 of the family's 1533-position model. The record is from RNAcentral.
GACGAACCAUCCAAACGUUAUUCGGAAUCACUGGGCUUAAAGGGUGCGUAGGCGGUCCGGCAAGUUGGGUGUGAAAUACCUCAGCCUAACUGAGGAAUGGCGCCCAAAACUGUUGGACUCGAGGAAGACAUAGGUGAGCGGAACUUAGGGUGGAGCGGUGAAAUGCGUUGAUAUCCUAAGGAACACCAGUAGCGAAAGCGGCUCACUGGGUCUUAUCUGACGCUGAGGCACGAAAGCCAGGGGAGCGAACGGG